GACGAACGCUGGCGGCGUGCUUAACACAUGCAAGUCGAACGGAAAGGCCCUGCUUUUGUGGGGUGCUCGAGUGGCGAACGGGUGAGUAACACGUGAGUAACCUGCCCUUGACUUUGGGAUAACUUCAGGAAACUGGGGCUAAUACCGGAUAGGAGCUCCUGCUGCCUGGUGGGGGUUGGAAAGUUUCGGCGGUUGGGGAUGGACUCGCGGUUUAUCAGCUUGUUGGUGGGGUAGUGGCUUACCAAGGCUUUGACGGGUAGCCGGCCUGAGAGGGUGACCGGCCACAUUGGGACUGAGAUGCGGCCCAGACUCCUACGGGAGGCAGCAGUGGGGAAUAUUGCACAAUGGGCGGAAGCCUGAUGCAGCAACGCCGCGUGCGGGAUGACGGCCUUCGGGUUGUAAACCGCUUUCGCCUGUGACGAAGCGUGAGUGACGGUAAUGGGUAAAGAAGCACCGGCUAACUACGUG
RNAcentral lists this ribosomal RNA (468 nucleotides) under uncultured bacterium. RNAcentral describes it as "partial 16S ribosomal RNA". It matches the Rfam family "Bacterial small subunit ribosomal RNA", at positions 28 to 507 of the family's 1533-position model. The record is from RNAcentral.